UACGUAGGUGGCAAGCGUUGUCCGGAAUUAUUGGGCGUAAAGCGCGCGCAGGCGGUUUCUUAAGUCUGAUGUGAAAGCCCACGGCUCAACCGUGGAGGGUCAUUGGAAACUGGGGAACUUGAGUACAGAAGAGGAGAGUGGAAUUCCACGUGUAGCGGCGAAAUGCGUAGAUAUGUGGAGGAACACCAGUGGCGAAGGCGACUCUCUGGUCUGUAACUGACGCUGAGGCGCGAAAGCGUGGGUAGCAAACAGGAUUAGAUACUCCUGUA
Molecule: ribosomal RNA, 269 nt
Filed under: uncultured prokaryote
Description: partial 16S ribosomal RNA
Rfam family: Bacterial small subunit ribosomal RNA
Source: RNAcentral